Molecule: ribosomal RNA, 497 nt
Filed under: uncultured bacterium
Lineage: Bacteria
Description: partial 16S ribosomal RNA
Rfam family: Bacterial small subunit ribosomal RNA
Source: RNAcentral
GAUGAACGCUGGCGGCGUGCCUAAUACAUGCAAGUCGAGCGAACAGACGAGGAGCUUGCUCCUCUGACGCUAGCGGCGGACGGGUGAGUAACACGUGGAUAACCUACCUAUAAGACUGGGAUAACUUCGAGAAACCGUAGCUAAUACCGGAUAAUAUAUUGAACCGCAUGGUUCAAUAGUGAAAGAUGGUUUUGUUGUCACUUAUAGAUGGCUCCACGCCGCAUUAGCUAGUUGGUACGGUAACGGCUUACCAAGGCAACGAUGCGUAGCCGACCUGAGAGGGUGAUCGCCCACACUGGCACUGAGCCACCGUCCAGGCUCCUACGGGAGGCAGCAGUAGGUAAUCUUCCGCAAUGUGCGAAAGCUUGACGGAGCAACGCCGCGUGACUGAUGAAGGUCUUCGGAUCGUAAAACUCUGUUAUUAGGGAAGCACAAAUGUGUAAGUGACUAUGCACCUAUUGACGGUACCUAAUCAGAAAGCCACGGCUAACUACGUG